This 265-nucleotide ribosomal RNA is filed under the name uncultured bacterium. RNAcentral's name for it is "partial 16S ribosomal RNA". It matches the Rfam family "Bacterial small subunit ribosomal RNA", at positions 793 to 1055 of the family's 1533-position model. The record is from RNAcentral.
GUCCACGCCCUAAACGAUGCGAACUAGGUGUUGGGGAAGGAGACUUCCUUAGUACCGCAGCUAACGCGUGAAGUUCGCCGCCUGGGGAGUACGGUCGCAAGAUUAAAACUCAAAGGAAUUGACGGGGACCCGCACAAGCGGUGGAUGAUGUGGAUUAAUUCGAUGCAACGCGAAAACCUUACCUACCCUUGACAUGUACCGAAGCCCGGCGAGAGCCGGGUGUGCCCGAAAGGGAGCGGUAACACAGGUGCUGCAUGGCUGUCGU